This 1585-nucleotide long non-coding RNA is filed under the name Homo sapiens (human). RNAcentral's name for it is "HSALNT0298767". The record is from RNAcentral. Lineage: Eukaryota; Metazoa; Chordata; Mammalia; Primates; Hominidae.
CUCCCUGUUCCAGGAAUAACAUGAGUGCCGGGACAAUGCAUCUUUAUUAUGAGAGGAAUGAGAAUUGUGUAUCUUGACAUUUGACAGGAGCUUGCUUUCCCCCAGGCUGUUUGAGGAAGGGCAGAGGAAAAUGUGGUGCCCUAAGAAGGAAGGACAGAGGAGGCCGAACACUGGCGGGUGGAAUCCCACUGAUUAGUAGUGCAGGUCAGAGACCUGGGAUGGGGGGCAUUGCCGUCAUGGAAGCCACAGCGGGGAGCGGGUAAAGCAGACAGGGAUGGUCCCUGAUGGUGACAACUCGCAAGAGGUUAAGGGGAAAGAAAAACUGAAAAGCUUAUUCAAUUUGGCAAUUAUGGCAGUGUUUAUCUUCAGAAGAGCAGUUUUAGGGUGGGGUUUCCAAAGAUGGGAUUGGACAUAUAUUUUGAAUCAUUAAGCUUGAGGUCUUUCAAAGGCCUGGCCAAGGGUUGCUGGGUGGAGACCACAUUCAGAGGUAAAGGCAGAAAUUGGGGGCCCUUAAGUAGACAGCGAGGGAGGAAGAAAUGAAGGGGCCUGGUGAUGGUUAGGGUGAAGUGUUAAGACUGAGAAAACAAGGACAUGUGAGAAGACGAGGGAAGAGCAUUGGAGAGAACAAAGACACUGGAGGAGAUGCUACUUGGAGGUCCCCAGAGAGCAGGGAGACAAAUGAACCCAGAACACAAAUGGCAAAGAAGAAAAAUGAGAGAAUUUGUAAAAGACAGCAUUCGAACAUGCCGAACAAGAGCAGGGUACUGGUGUUCAAACACCUGUAUCUCCCCCGUGUAACCCGUCAACUAAUAUCUUUCCAUAUUUGCUCCAGAUUUGUCUUUAGAAAUAAAACCCACGUUCUGAAGUCCUGUUUGUAUGUGGCCCCAGUCCUGUUGCCUCCGCCUCCUGUCCUGAAGUCGAUUUCUGCCCUUCUCAUCUAUGCUGUGCUGCAGUGAGCAUCCCAUCACAUUGUGUGGAUUUGAGGAAGUAUUGGAAUUCCCCCAAUUGACUGGACAUUCCCAAUUACCCUCCAAGUGUCCCAGCACUGUUUACUGAACAGUCUCUCCUUUCUCGCUGGUCUGUAGAACUCUCCUGACAUAUACCAAGUUUCCAUAAGUGGGUGGAUGGGUUCCUGAGCUCUCUACUGUUAAUAGAACUUGCUCUCUCGCAGGCCAAUGCCUCACCAGGUGAUUGAAGCAGAGAAACUUAGGUGGUGAAAGGAGAAGAUGGGGCCUGUCCUGAGAGUUUCUGUUCCUGAGAUGCUAGAGGCAGAGGGUCCCUAAACUUUCCUGAGUCGGCAGACAUCCCCUCUGGAGAAGAGGUUGGCCCCAGAGUCGAACAUCCUCUGAUCUACCUGAUCCUGCUGCCCUUCCAUUCCACUUCCCCACAUCUGUUCUUUCUGGUCGUGUUUACUCCCCUAUUAAAAAAACAAAACCAGAAAACGUGUUUGCCUAGAUCUUGAGACUCUGGAAGAUCUUAACAGUCAGAGGUUCCCCCUAUUUGCAAUGAUCUCCUUUCCUGCCCCUUCCUAUCCUUGCAAUAAUCCUUUUGAAUAAAGUCUCUCCUUACUAAAUCCAGUUCCUAA